This 230-nucleotide unclassified non-coding RNA is filed under the name Hevea brasiliensis (rubber tree). Lineage: Eukaryota; Viridiplantae; Streptophyta; Magnoliopsida; Malpighiales; Euphorbiaceae. The record is from RNAcentral.
GAAUAUUCCUUGGAGCCGUGGGGGAGUGAGUGACAAUGACUACAUUUUUGCAUUUGAGCAAGUCGUGCUUCCCAUAGCUUUGGAUUUCAAUCCAGACUUUACUAUCAUUUCAGCAGGAUUUGAUGCUGCUAGGGGUGACCCCCUUGGCUGCUGUGACGUAACUCCUGCUGGUUAUGCAUCAAUGACUCAGAUGUUGAGUGCAUUGUCAGGUGGAAAAUUGCUUGUUAUUU